This is a long non-coding RNA of Lagopus leucura (white-tailed ptarmigan), 4025 nucleotides long. RefSeq lists it as uncharacterized. NCBI's taxonomy places the organism in Eukaryota, Metazoa, Chordata, Aves, Galliformes, Phasianidae. The transcript is spliced from 3 exons. The record is from RefSeq and is a predicted model, not a curated record.
AGUCUCAACUCAUGGUCCACCAACGCAUCCACACAGGAGAAAAACGCUACAAGUGCCCCGAGUGUGCAAAAGCCUUCAGAAGCAGUUCCCAAGUCGUGAUUCACCAGCGUACCCACAGAGCACAGAAAGCCUACAAAUGCUGUGAGCGUGAGGAGAGCCUCAGGAGCAAUUCUGACCUCAGCUCCCACCAGCACAUCCCCACAGGAGGCAAACUCUAUAUAUGUGAUGAGUGUGGGAAGGGCUACAAGAGGAGUUCCCUGCUGCUCUCCCACCUACACAUCCCCACAGGAGACAAGCACUACAAGUGUCCUGAGUGUGAGAAAGACCAUGCUUGACAGUUUUCAUUUGUAUCCCCAUUCUCAGCGAUGUCCCUCAGCCCAUAAAGAAGAAUCUCCUUUCGACAGUGAACACGUUCAGUGUGCAGUCCUGAGGAGAGGGUCAGGCAGAGGCCAGCGAUGCCUCAUGUGCAGCAGUGUUGCUCUGACAGGAUUUUGUAUCAGAAGGGUCCUCUGGAGAACCAUCGUUUGCCCUGAACAGGAACAACUUGACACUGAGAUCAGGUCGAUCAGCAGUUUCUCCUGACCCAGCACUGACACCCAGUCGUGGUGAUGAUUUUCCCCUUAAAACAACAGGGAAUUUCCCUCUGUGCCCUUUCAGUUUCUGGUCCUCACUUUUGUCUUUUUCUCCCCUCUCUGCACCCAUAUGGCCACACCUCCUCUGAGCAAGCGCAGUUGUUCUUGAUCUGGCUGGAAUGGAGUUCAUAGGAUGCCUGCCAGGCUCAGCACUCAGCCUGUCCAGGGGACUGUGGGAGAAGUGUGUGGGUAAGGAGCCCCUCAGGCUGGGCGGGAGCCUUCUGCAGCCAAAGGCUGCUGCACAGAGUAGGGAAUUCUCUGUUACACAGGACCCCAGUGUAUUUUUGGUGGGGCUUUGCACCAUGAGAGUCAUAUGCAGGGGUUAACUGCUUCAAGUCUGCCUUUCCUGAGUCUCUCCUUUCUGUUUUCUUUGCCUCAGAAGUAGUGAAAAUAGAGGCUGUAACAUCCAAGAAAACACUGAAAAUCCUAAGCCUUACGCUCCCCCAGCGAGUUCCUUUCUGCCCCUCUGCCAAUCGAAAGCACUAUCAUUGCAUGUCCAGUGUCACCAGGGCCUGUGCCACAUGGCCCUUAGCACCUGACCACAUUGAAAUAGCCUUGGGCAGUGCCCUGCUGCCAAGAGGGGUCUGCAAGGCAGAGCUGAGUCUACAGCAGCUGUGAGUCUACAGCAGGGAGGGCUUGUGGGGACGGAGAUAGAGACAGGGACAAGUGCAGGCAGCAGAGACAUAAUCAGGGAGAGGGAGCUACCCCUGGAAAUACCAUGGGGCUGAGGAUAUGGGCACCUCCAUGCCAUAACUGCAGUGCAUAUCUUUCCCCCAAAGCAACCCUGUGGUCUGCUGUCCAUCUUCAGCAUAGAUCUCCGUCAACAUCUUUGGAAUCUUACAAUGUGCCUUUGAAUUCAUCAGCAUUCAGCUGCAGUUCAGGCAGUGAUAUUGCAGAUUCCGUCACGCAGAUACGUCAAUGGAGGAAAAGCAUCCUAUGUCAGUUUGGGCUCUGUUAAAUGUUGUGUUUGGGAUGAGGAGUCGGCUGAUUCAUGCCAGGACAGCACAUUUUCAGGGCACUUGACACUCUCCCUGGUGUGCUGUACCAUGCUGUAGGCCGCCCUGCACAAGGACACAGCUCUGCUGUAAAAGCUCUGCAAUGUAGCAUCCUGAUGGAGAAGACGUCUAAGUGCUAAUGAGAUGGAAAUGCUGCUGGAUAGCUGUAUGUGGGCAACUGCAGUGACACUUCUGUAUAUCUGGCAAGAAAAGGGGCACUGAGAUCUUCUUCAGGUCAUUGUGUCCAGAGACGACAAAGGUCCAACAGCAGCUGCAUCACAGAGUUCUCCCUCCUGACACUUGCAGACACACAAGAGUUGCAGCUCCUGCACUUCCAGCUCUUCCUGGGCAUCUGCCUGGCUGCCCUCCUGGACUACAGCCUCUUCAUCACAGCUGUGGCCUGUGACCACCACCUGGACUUCUCCUCAUCCUGGGCUGCAUCUCCUCCACUUGCCCUGAAGCCAUGGCCAAUGCUCUCUUGGGCACCAGGAACAUUUCUGGUGUUUCUGAUGCAGGAUGUGUUGCCCAGGUCUUUUUCAUUUUCUUCUUGCUUACAGCACAGUACUCCCUUCUCAUUGUCAUGUCAUAUGAAUGCUGUGGCCAUCUACAAGCCUCCACACUGUGGGACUUUCCUGAGCAGCAGAGCUUGUGGCAAUCUUCUGUGAUGUGCUGGAGAUGUUCUCUGAGUGUGGACGACACAAAGCCUCCCUCACCUGGCUGUGGUUCAUCGGCGCUGCUGUGUUUGCCUACAUUAAGCCCUCCUCCAUCUCUAUCUCUGUACCUGGUGGUGGUAGUUCUGUGCUCAGUGGUGCCUCUAACAAUGAAGCCCCUCACAGACAGCAUGAGGAAACAGGAGCUCAAAGGUGCUCUUCAGAAUGUGAUUUUACAGAUGUUUCUUAAUAGAGAUAAAUUUAUCCUCUCCCUCCACAAAUGAUUUAGUACUUAUCCCCUGGCAGACCUCAUCCUUAUUUCAUCCCUUUAUUACAUUAGUUAUUGCCUAUCUUUAUUGCCAUUAGCAUAUACUAUGUUAUUAGAGAAAUGUUUGCAUUCAUUCUGCUUCUACUGAGGAAGCUUCUACUCUGCUAACUCCUGAAGCUCUGACAAACUCUGGGUCGGUGCUCUUAUCAUCUGCUUUAUUAAAUCGGAUCCCCACAAUGUGCUGCCUGAAGACUUGGCUCUCCUUUACAGAGCUGGUACCAAGAACAGGGCUGAGCUGCUGCACCACAGGAAGUUUGUUGCUCCAAGGAUUUGGAAGAGAAAAAGCUCAUCACAGUACUGUGUGCUGUGAGACACUGAAGGUAGGAUUUAGGAGUAAUCUGUUGCUGUCCAAUAAUAGCAGAGAUGGUGAAUGGUCACUAAGGUACAUCCUCGUGGCAGUCCCACGUGUGGCAGGGCAGAGGAUAUCCUCCAGGGAAGGAAUAUGGAGUUGUCUGGAGCUUCCAGGAGUUCUCCAUGGGUAUUGUCUGCCAAGGGUGGGCAGUGACUGGAAGUCCACAAAGUGAGAGAUCAGUCCAGGUGGUUUCACUCAUAUUAAGGUAUCCACAGGGCAAGAAGGACUCUCAUUCCUUUGGGAUUCAUAGAGUGGAGAGCGUUUACUGUCAUUCCCAGGGAAGGAGACCUCCAGCUGCAGUCAGAAAUAUGCCUGGAAACUUGCAUUAUCCCUAGAAAGAUUCCCUACCCUUUUAAAGCACUUGUAAUGACCGUCAAACCCUGUGAAGGAGAUUAGUAUUUGUGGUUGCAAUCCAGUUGGGUAUACUUCUCAUGCUGUGCAGCACAGCUAGCAUGGAGUAACCUCAUGAUCACAGCUGCCUGCAGGAGUGUUGAUUUCAUUUAGCUGAAUAUGAAGUUGGACUGUCCAGGAAGGCAAGAUUUCAGUGGGUCUAUCUUGGAAGAAACUUGCCUGUCUGACAUGAAGGGACUCCAGCAUGGCCUGGCAGGAGAUUGUCAUGGAUGAACAAGGACCCCUGAAUGAGGAUUUAAAACAGCAGAAGGAAGUGCAGAGUGUGCAGAAAGGGAACAGUCUGCCCUGGAAACAGAUGGAGACUUGGCCUGUUGGUGCAGGAAUGGAGCCACUAAUGCCAACGCUGAGCUGCGAGGGAACUAUCCAGAGAUGGGCAGGGCAGCCAGAAGGACUUGUUGAAAUACUUUGUCAGCACAAGGAAGACAACAAAGGGGGAAAAAAAAAAGUCCCAAUACAAAGACAGUAGAAAUACAGAAACUCCUCAGAUGAGUUUCCCCCUUGAGAGUGCUGGUGGGAAAGGUGCUUUGUUAAGUGACUGGAGUACAUUUACCUAUAACUGUAUGUACCUACAUAUAUAUAUGUAUGCUGCUGUGGAAAGGUAAGGUGUGAUGAUAUAAGGGAAAAUUUGGCUAUCCAGAAAUAGAGCAUUUCAUGGAA